UACAGAGGGUGCAAGCGUUGUUCGGAAUUAUUGGGCGUAAAGCGCGUGUAGGCGGCUUUGUACGUCGGGUGUGAAAUCCCUCGGCUUAACCGGGGAACUGCGUCUGAUACUGGAUGGCUUGAGGUUGGGAGAGGGAUGCGGAAUUCCAGGUGUAGCGGUGAAAUGCGUAGAUAUCUGGAGGAACACCGGUGGCGAAGGCGGCAUCCUGGACCAAUUCUGACGCUGAGGAACGAAAGCUAGGGGAGCAAACAGG
RNAcentral lists this ribosomal RNA (253 nucleotides) under uncultured bacterium. RNAcentral's name for it is "partial 16S ribosomal RNA". It matches the Rfam family "Bacterial small subunit ribosomal RNA", at positions 524 to 776 of the family's 1533-position model. The record is from RNAcentral.